GUUAUAGGAUCAAGCGAAUAAGUGCAUGUGGUGGAUGCCUUGGCGAUUACAGGCGAUGAAGGACGUGGCAGCCUGCGUAAAGCUUCGGGGAGCUGGCAACAAGCAUUGAUCCGGAGAUGUCCGAAUGGGGAAACCCGGCCCGCAAGGGUCAUCCUGUCCUGAAUAUAUAGGGACAGAGAAGCGAACCUGGCGAACUGAAACAUCUAAGUAGCCAGAGGAAAAGAAAUCAACCGAGAUUCCCAAAGUAGUGGCGAGCGAACUGGGAAGAGCCUGCACGUGAUACCCGUUGACUUAGCAAAACAACCUGGAAAGGUUGGCCAUAGAAGGUGAAAGCCCAGUAUGCGAAAAGACAACGGGAGUACUAAGCGUGCGACAAGUAGGGCGGGACACGAGAAAUCCUGUCUGAAGAUGGGGGGACCAUCCUCCAAGGCUAAAUACUCGUAAUCGACCGAUAGUGAACCAGUACCGUGAGGGAAAGGCGAAAAGAACCCCGGAAGGGGAGUGAAAUAGAACCUGAAACCGCAUGCAUACAAACAGUGGGAGCCUCCUUGUGGGGUGACUGCGUACCUUUUGUAUAAUGGGUCAGCGACUUACAUUCAGUAGCGAGCUUAACCGGAUAGGGGAGGCGUAGCGAAAGCGAGUCUGAUAAGGGCGAUUAGUUGCUGGGUGUAGACCCGAAACCGGAUGAUCUAUCCAUGGCCAGGAUGAAGGUUGGGUAACACCAACUGGAGGUCCGAACCCACUAACGUUGAAAAGUUAGGGGAUGAGCUGUGGAUAGGGGUGAAAGGCUAAACAAAUCCGGAAAUAGCUGGUUCUCUCCGAAAACUAUUUAGGUAGUGCCUCAUGUAUCACUCUCGGGGGUAGAGCACUGUUAUGGCUAGGGGGUCAUUGCGACUUACCAAACCAUGGCAAACUCCGAAUACCGAGAAGUGCGAGCAUGGGAGACAGACAGUGGGUGCUAACGUCCAUUGUCAAGAGGGAAACAACCCAGACCGCCAGCUAAGGUCCCAAAUGACGUGCUAAGUGGAAAACGAGGUGGGAAGGCAUAGACAGCCAGGAUGUUGGCUUAGAAGCAGCCAUCAUUCAAAGAAAGCGUAAUAGCUCACUGGUCGAGUCGUCCUGCGCGGAAGAUGUAACGGGGCUCAAGCACGUAACCGAAGCUGCGGAUAUGUACUUAGUACAUAUGGUAGGAGAGCGUUCUGUAGGCCGUUGAAGGUGUCUUGUAAAGGAUGCUGGAGGUAUCAGAAGUGCGAAUGCUGACAUGAGUAGCGAUAAAGGGAGUGAAAAGCUCCCUCGCCGAAAACCCAAGGUUUCCUACGCAACGUUCAUCGGCGUAGGGUGAGUCGGCCCCUAAGGCGAGGCAGAGAUGCGUAGUCGAUGGGAAACAGGUCAAUAUUCCUGUACCGAUCAUGAAUGCGAUGGGGGGACGGAGAAGGGUAGGUCAGCCAACUGUUGGAAUAGUUGGUUUAAGCGUGUAGACGUGCCGCACAGGCAAAUCCGUGUGGCUUAGUUGAGGCGUGAUGACGAGGAACCACUGGUUCUGAAGUGAUUGAUCCCAUGCUUCCAGGAAAAGCCUCUAAGCUUCAGUUCAUGAUUGACCGUACCGUAAACCGACACAGGUGGGUGGGGUGAGAAUCCUAAGGCGCUUGAGAGAACUCGGGAGAAGGAACUCGGCAAAUUGACACCGUAACUUCGGGAUAAGGUGUGCCCAGAUAACGUGAAAGCCCUGCGGCUGGAGCGGUAAUGGGUUGCAGUGAAAUGGUGGCUGCGACUGUUUAAUAAAAACACAGCACUCUGCAAACACGAAAGUGGACGUAUAGGGUGUGACGCCUGCCCGGUGCUGGAAGAUUAAAUGAUGGGGUGCAAGCUCUUGAUUGAAGUCCCAGUAAACGGCGGCCGUAACUAUAACGGUCCUAAGGUAGCGAAAUUCCUUGUCGGGUAAGUUCCGACCCGCACGAAUGGCGUAACGAUGGCCACACUGUCUCCUCCCGAGACUCAGCGAAGUUGAAAUGUUUGUGAAGAUGCAAUCUCCCCGCGGCUAGACGGAAAGACCCCGUGCACCUUUACUGUAGCUUUGCAUUGGACUUUGAACAGACUUGUGUAGGAUAGGUGGGAGGCUAUGAAGUGGGAACGCCAGUUCUCAUGGAGCCGUCCUUGAAAUACCACCCUGGUGUGUUUGAGGUUCUAACCCAGGUCCGUAAUCCGGAUCGGGGACCGUGCAUGGUAGGCAGUUUGACUGGGGCGGUCUCCUCCCAAAGUGUAACGGAGGAGCUCGAAGGUUCUCUAGGUACGGUCGGAAAUCGUACUGAUAGCGCAAUGGCACAAGAGAGCUUGACUGCGAGACUGACAAGUCGAGCAGGUGCGAAAGCAGGACAUAGUGAUCCGGUGGUUCUGAAUGGAAGGGCCAUCGCUCAACGGAUAAAAGGUACGCCGGGGAUAACAGGCUGAUUCCUCCCAAGAGUUCACAUCGACGGGGGAGUUUGGCACCUCGAUGUCGGCUCAUCACAUCCUGGGGCUGAAGCCGGUCCCAAGGGUAUGGCUGUUCGCCAUUUAAAGUGGUACGUGAGCUGGGUUUAAAACGUCGUGAGACAGUUUGGUCCCUAUCUGCCGUGGGCGUUGGAAGUUUGAGGGGGGCUGCUCCUAGUACGAGAGGACCGGAGUGGACGCAUCUCUGGUGUACCGGUUAUCACGCCAGUGGUAUCGCCGGGUAGCUAAAUGCGGAAGAGAUAAGCGCUGAAAGCAUCUAAGCGCGAAACUUGCCUCAAGAUGAGACUUCCCUGGGACUUCGAGUCCCCUGAAGGGUCGUUCAAGACCAGGACGUUGAUAGGUCGGGUGUGGAAGCGCAGUAAUGCGUUAAGCUAACCGAUACUAAUUGCCCGUGAGGCUUGAUCCUAUAACC
RNAcentral lists this ribosomal RNA (2899 nucleotides) under Leeia aquatica. RNAcentral describes it as "23S ribosomal RNA". It matches the Rfam family "Bacterial large subunit ribosomal RNA". Lineage: Bacteria; Pseudomonadati; Pseudomonadota; Betaproteobacteria; Neisseriales; Leeiaceae. The record is from RNAcentral.